CCGGGGCCGGCCCGGUGGUGGCUGUCUCCGGCCUACGAGCUGAGGGUGCUCCCCCCGCUUUCUCCUCCCCAGCCUUCAGGGUGUGCCGGUGGCCUACGACAACAUCAGAGUGGUGGGUGAGCUCGGGGACAUUUACGACGACCAAGGAUUCAUCCACCUGAACGUCGAGGCAGACUUCGUCAUCUUCAGCCCCAAGAAAGGGAAAAAACUGGUGGGUGUAAUUAAUAAAGUGGCCCCUAGUCAUAUUGGCUGCCUGAUACAUGGAUGCUUCAAUGCUUCUAUCCCUAAACCUGAACAAAUGUCGAUUGUACAGUGGCAAGACCUGGGGUUAAAAAUAGGGGACGAACUCAAAUUUCAAGUAUUGCACUUGGAUUCUGAUGCAGCUGGAGUGUUCUUCAUUCGAGGGGGACUCACUAAAAGGAGACAUUUUCUCCAAUGCUCUCAGUUGCAAGCAUGAAGCCCAAACGAUCUGAGACUGUCACUGACAGUACAAAUGGAGAUGAAAUUCAAAAGCUUGACCAGCAGGAAAAUGACUUGAAUGACUCUGGGGGAGAUAAUGUCACAGAGGAGCCUCUGGGUGAGACGGAUAACACCAGGAGGGAAAAUGGAGAAGAGCAAAGUGUUGAUGCUGUGAAUGGAUUGUGCGAUGAUAAAAACAAGAAGAAGAAAAAGAAAAAGCAUAAGCAAGAAGAACAGGAACAUGUAUUGCCUACCAGUGACUCCAGUGGUUACCAAAGUGACCAUAAAAAGUCAAAGAAAAAGAAAAGAAAGCAUUGUGAUGAAGUUGAAGAAAGUGAAUUAUCUCAGCUGUCACAAGAACCCAAAGCUAAAAAGAAAAGAGACUAAAGUCUGAAGUGCCUUUCCUGAAUAAGAUUUCAGAUGUUUUUGAUAAGCUUCCAAUAAAAUCCUGUUUUCAAAAUGCAUAUGUA
This 929-nucleotide long non-coding RNA is filed under the name Buteo japonicus. RNAcentral's name for it is "lncRNA (ENSBJAG00000006282.1)". Lineage: Eukaryota; Metazoa; Chordata; Aves; Accipitriformes; Accipitridae. The record is from RNAcentral.